GCUGGCGGCGUGCUUAACACAUGCAAGUCGAACGCGCAGCAUUCUGUAGCAAUACAGGCUGUGGGCGCGUGGCGAACGGGUGCGUAACACGUGGAUAACCUUCCUUGAGGUGGGGAAUAACCCAGUGAAAAUUGGGCUAAUACCGCAUAACAUCGCGAUGGCACAUGCUGAUGCGAUCAAAGGCGCAAGUCGCCACAAGAGGGAUCCGCGGCCGAUUAGCUUGUUGGCGAGGUAAUGGCUCACCAAGGCAAUGAUCGGUAGCCGGACUGAGAGGUUGGCCGGCCACACUGGAACUGAGACACGGUCCAGACUCCUACGGGAGGCAGCAGUGGGGAAUCUUGCACAAUGGACGAAAGUCUGAUGCAGCAACGCCGCGUGGGGGAUGAAGCUUCUCGGAGUGUAAACCCCUUUCGACCCGGAAGAAUGCCCGCAAGGGUAUGACGGUACGGGUAUAAGAAGCCCCGGCUAACUACGUGCCAGCAGCCGCGGUAAUA
RNAcentral lists this ribosomal RNA (494 nucleotides) under uncultured soil bacterium. Its description in RNAcentral is "bacterial SSU rRNA". It matches the Rfam family "Bacterial small subunit ribosomal RNA", at positions 35 to 525 of the family's 1533-position model. The record is from RNAcentral.